Small nucleolar RNA from Ziziphus jujuba (common jujube), 130 nucleotides. Lineage: Eukaryota; Viridiplantae; Streptophyta; Magnoliopsida; Rosales; Rhamnaceae. The record is from RefSeq and is a predicted model, not a curated record.
GAGCAAUGGCGUCGAACAAUUAGAUGGCGCGAAUUGCAUUGAAGGUUGGCAAUAUUAAAUAACGAUUCUCCGUGCCUAUCAAAUUCAAUCGAUCUCGUUUUGAUUAUGGCCUCGAACAAGUCGCUACACU